AGUGAUAUAUAGCAACGCAGAGGAGGCCCAUGAAUCUAGCUUGGAGCUCCACGUUAGCAGCAGACCGUGAUGGAAGGGCCCAGCAGUAGGAUGUAGAUACACAACCCUAGGAAGAUACUUUUACAUUGAUUGGGGGGGCUGGAACGUUAGUGUAGAGGGUGAUAUUUCUUUGGAAAAUAUGGAGCGUGAUGGGCAUAGGUUGAAGAAAAGUAGUUUCCAG
Molecule: long non-coding RNA, 220 nt
Filed under: Vigna radiata
Lineage: Eukaryota; Viridiplantae; Streptophyta; Magnoliopsida; Fabales; Fabaceae
Description: long non-coding RNA (VRAD_LNC012792)
Source: RNAcentral